AUUGAACGCUGGCGGCAUGCCUUACACAUGCAAGUCGAACGGCAGCGGGGGAGAAGCUUGCUUUUCCUGCCGGCGAGUGGCGAACGGGUGAGUAAUACAUCGGAACGUGCCCUGUAGUGGGGGAUAACUAGUCGAAAGAUUAGCUAAUACCGCAUACGACCUGAGGGUGAAAGUGGGGGACCGCGAGGCCUCAUGCUAUAGGAGCGGCCGAUGUCUGAUUAGCUAGUUGGUGGGGUAAAGGCCUACCAAGGCGACGAUCAGUAGCUGGUCUGAGAGGACGAUCAGCCACACUGGGACGGAGACACGGCCCAGACUCCUACGGGAGGCAGCAGUGGGGAAUUUUGGACAAUGGGCGAAAGCCUGAUCCAGCAAUGCCGCGUGUGUGAAGAAGGCCUUCGGGUUGUAAAGCACUUUUGUCCGGAAAGAAAUGGCUCUGGUUAAUACCUGGGGUCGAUGACGGUACCGGAAGAAUAAGGACCGGCUAACUACGUGCCAGCAGCCGCCGUAA
Molecule: ribosomal RNA, 508 nt
Filed under: uncultured bacterium
Lineage: Bacteria
Description: partial 16S ribosomal RNA
Rfam family: Bacterial small subunit ribosomal RNA
Source: RNAcentral